CCAAACUCCAAGAUUUAAAGAACCAUCAAGACAAAUUAAUGGCUUGCUUUACGUCUUCUCCCGGAACAAAUUGUUCUGCCAAGGUGACCAACAGCCCUGCUGAAGGAUCUAAAUCCAUCGUUGCACCCACCAAAUCAGUGUUGCCUUUCAAGCUUGCAACCCCAUCUCUCACUGAGAAUUCAAGACUCCUUCUUUCAAAGACUUCAAGCUUUAACAGCUUCUCUGUCACCAAGAGAUCUUUCUCCUGCAGAAACCAAGCGGCCUCAUCUGAUGACACGAGACCCAGCAAGGUUCAAGAGCUGUAUGUGUACGAGAUCAAUGAGANNNNNNNAGCUUUUCUCCGCUUGAGCCAGAAACCUGUCAAUUCUCUCGGUGAUCUUGUUCCUUUUACCAACAAAGUUUACACGGGAGACCUGAAAAAACGUAUAGGAAUAACGGCAGGAAUAUGUGUGCUGAUCCAAAACAAGCCAGAGAAGAAUGGCGACCGUUACGAAGCCAUAUACAGCUUCUACUUCGGUGAGUACGGGCAGAUAUCGGUGCAGGGACCCUACUUGACCUACGAGGAUACGUAUCUGGCGGUGACAGGUGGGUCGGGCAUUUUUGAAGGGGUGUCUGGUCAAGUUAAGCUCCAACAGUUAGUAUUUCCAUUCAAGCUGUUCUAUACCUUUUACUUGAAGGGGAUUAAGGACUUGCCUGAGGAGCUGCUAGGCGAUCCUGUUGACCCGAACCCUUCUGUAGAGCCGCACCCUGAUGCUAAGGCUGCCCACCCACAUGCUGCUAUUGCUAAUUUCACUGAUUAAUGAGUUAAGCAUUUAGGGGAAA
This 822-nucleotide unclassified non-coding RNA is filed under the name Hevea brasiliensis (rubber tree). The record is from RNAcentral. Lineage: Eukaryota; Viridiplantae; Streptophyta; Magnoliopsida; Malpighiales; Euphorbiaceae.